RNAcentral lists this small RNA (663 nucleotides) under Pongo abelii (Sumatran orangutan). Its description in RNAcentral is "processed transcript". The record is from RNAcentral. Lineage: Eukaryota; Metazoa; Chordata; Mammalia; Primates; Hominidae.
CAUGAUGCUUACUCAGUAGGUGUGAUAAAUUAGCAAGGGUAAGCAAGUAUUGCUGACUGGAAAAAAAGAAGAAGAAAAAGAGAAUUUCAGGAUUUCUAAACUAUUAGCUACUUCAGUGUGGUGCCAGCAAGUCCAAGACAUAUGGAAACACAGGGCAUAUGGAGAUGUAAAUAAUAGGAGGAAUUGUUGAUAAAGACCUUCGUCACUACCUCAACUUACGAUUUCAAAAGGGUUCUGUGGACCAUGAGCUUCAGCAAAUCAUUCGUGACAACCUCUACCUCCGCACGGUGCCAUGUACAUUUAUUUAUAAACAUGUUAUAAGAAGGGAGAGUGACAUCAACCUGUGGAUUAGAUCACCAAAAAAGCAACCAUCUUAUUCCAAUGGAAAGAAAUUCCCUGAGUUAAAAAUGAUCAAAAAUGAAUAUGAUAGCCAGGAAAAUCUGGACAAUGUGUUUUCACCUAGAUGGAUUUUUAGAAUUCUACUUCAAUCAAUAAAGAUAAGAAUCAAGAACAAAUUCCUUUGGGUGAUGGAAUUUUCUUCAAUACAUAAAAAUAUAUUUUUUAACUGAAGACCCAAUAUAAAAAGAUGAAUUACAAGUCAAAUAUUUUGUUUUGUGUCAAAGGCAUUCUAACACUAUAAAAUUGACAUGUGGAAUUUUGAAA